CCCCAAUCCCACAACCACCUCAAUCCCCAAUCCCACAACCACCUCAAUCCCCAAUCCCACAACCACCUCAAUCCCCAAUCCCACAACCACCUCAAUCACCACUCUUCCAGUUACCUCUACUACCAUUACAACACUGAGCAGCAGGUCUAGACACAUACUUGUAGUGAGCAUAAAACUUUCCUAUCAGCCACUGCUUACAGGUUUGCUCACAGAUGCAAACAUCACAACAGAAGUCUUACCACAAAUCCGUGAUCAACUGAUCACAAACGGGGUGCCAGAGAGCUUCAUCACACUGAGGCUGAUAGCAACUCAUGAUGUCAGAUCCUGAGUGAGGGGCAGGAAUUCGGCUUACGUUUCUUUCACUCGCGGUGCCUUCAGAAAUUAUUCAGACCCCUUCACUUUCUGUCUUUCUGUUUCUGUCAAUCUACACACCCACAUAAAAUGCUAAAAACCUUUGUACCAUUUUUCCAUUUUAUUAAAAAUAAAAAUCAGAUAUCUUAUGUACAUAUUCAGUCCCUUUGUUCAGUACUUGAGAAGUGCCUUUGGCAGCAAUCAAUCCAGUUUAUUUCCUAAAGCCCUUUUUACAACAGCAAUUGUGUCAAAGUGCUUAUAUAGACACCCAAGAAACCCUAAACCGCAAGCAAAAACAUGGUUUGAUUCACAGGAAAAACUCCCUAUGAAGAAACUUAGAGAGGAAUCAGACUUCUGGCUGUGCCGGCUGAAGAUUACAAAUGAUAAUAAUUAAUAAAUGCAUGUGGGCUGUGUCCAGUGUCUAUAAACAGAUCACAGUCUCAUUGGGUACGUCUCUACCAGCUUUCCACACCUGGAUUUUGGCAGUUUCGCCCAUUCUUCCUUGCAUAUCCCUUCAAACUCUGUCAGGAUGAGUAGCGUCAGUGAACUGUGAUCUUUAGGUGUCCCCACUCAGGGACAUCCACAGACUUGGAGUGCUGAAGGCUUGGAGUACUGAAGCCAUUCCAGCGGGGUCUUGGUUGUGUGCCUCAGAUUGUUGUAAUGCUGAAAGAUGAAUCUUCGCCCCAGUCUAAGGUCCUGUGUGCAAGGGUCAUUCUGGCAGUUUCACCCAUCUUGGAAGAAAAACUCUGAAGCCCUGGUAGAGUGGCCAUUGUGAUUUUCAUUACUUACCUCACCAAAGCACUUCUUGCUUUGUUACUUAGUUUGUCCAGACUGGCAGUUCUAGAAAGAAAUCAGGUUGGAGACCACCACAAUGAUGGAGCCCACCAUGCACCUCGGAAUUUUCAACAGGCCCACUUUAGCAAUUAUCUUUUCAAGUAAACAAACACUCAGUACUUGCAUUAAUACCUCAGUGAAAUUCAGUGUUGUUUUGCUUCUCUACCUUGACAAGAUACAAUCCUGUUUCCCCCCUUCAAAUUAACACUCAAUACAAUCUGGCUACCUCAGUAUAAAUUGUCAAUCUGCCUGCCCCAACACCAGUUGUCAAUCUGCCUGCCCCAACACUAGUUGCUUACUGUUGUUUGAGGCUGGGUAUCUGUAUAAGCAUUUUGUGACAACUGCUGAUAUAAAAAUAGAGUUGUAAAGAAAAUGGGACUGAUUUGUCUAUAUGCAUUGAGAUUCCCGAGGUUUCCAUGAGAACUGAAGCAAAUUAGCGAGGCUAGGAUUUAUUUUCUCUCUUUUGGUAAUUUUUAAGAAAGUAUAAGGUUGGAAAACACAAUUAAAUAGAUUAUUACCAUAGCCUAAAUUGACAGGGAGCGUCAUCCUUUAUCUGGGGGUAUCCCCCAUUACGAGUGAUUUGUGUCUGCCUGGGUAAUCUCUGGCCACCUGGAUGUAGCAAUUAUUACAUUGCCUGGUCGAAAAUAUUUGAGCCACAUUCGAUAAAUUAUUUUUAUAGACAAGAAUGUUUUUUUGAGUGGGACACAAAAUGUCCCACUCAAAAAAAGAAUAGCCUACAUAGAAGGAUUAUUUCUAAGCACACAGUCAAUAAUAUUUUAAUUAGUUUAUUAGGCCCCACAAAUGUACUAAAUGAAAAUUACACAACACUGAAAUUAUUCCAAAUUAUUCCAUUUGAAUUUAGUUUUAAUUUCCAUCUAAUUUUGAUGAUGUACAAGGUAAUAAGAGACACUGUCGACCAGUUCGCUACGAUCAAAGGAUAUCGGCAUGAAUAGCCUUACAAAGGCCUAAAGCACUGUUGCUUAGUAAACCCAAUACAUUUGAUAAAUAAAUAAAGGAAAGGAAGAGUUACAGUUAGUCUACACUGUCACGGUGCCACCUGUGAUCAAGCCAGCCUCCGGCUGCUGGCACCGCUUUCACGGUCUCCACUAUUAAGCACACCGGUUCCUGAUCACAUCACCCAGGACUUCCCAUCAUUAUGCACACCAAAUUGCUAGGCCUACAGCUAAGAAAAACUGCACCAGGGUUUACAUUAGCCGGCAAAGGCCGUAUUCUGACAGAUUAAAAUAUCAACUGUCAAAAUGUCCGGUGGUAAAUAUGCCAAGUGAAUAAGUAAAUAGAUUAAUAGCAUAUUAAAUAGCCUAAUAUUGAGUGACCUGUAUGAUCUGUUGCCAAGAAAACAGCAAGCCUCCCCUCACCCUCACAAUAAUAAGACAUUACUGAGUCAUGUGACUGGCUUGGCGCGAGAAUCAAAAGCAGCACAAACCGGCAUAGACAUAAUAAAGAGUAGACCCUGCAUUGGCUGCUGGGCGCGGGAAAUACGUCCGCCAUCUUGGACCGGUCGUACUCCUAAUUGCGUUGCAGCAGAAACAACGAUGCCAGAGCACUGUGGAGCAUAGUCCUGCUCAUAUCGGCGGACCAUCGAAAGCAGGGCUCGUGGGAUUACUUUUCACAAGUAAGAUUUAACAUUACCGUAUAAUUGGUUGUAUUUUGUGACUAGAAUAUUACCAGAGAGUUGAGAAGGAGCAAGGAUCUUUGAUAUUACUGUAAUGCACCAGCCGGUGUUCACCCAGCUAUGAACUGAGACUUGAUUAGUCAUAUUCCAUAACACUGGCUUAGAUUACAACUGACACAAGAAUGCUAUUGUAGAAAUAAAACAAAUAUUACUGGAAUAACAUUGGCCAGCUUAUUUUACACAAGUGGCACAGACUGUAUCAUAUAUAGUCGUAUAUAUAAAUAAAAGACAGUAUUAUCAGUGUUGGGCAAUACUAGCUUAGCCAGUAACUUAGUAUUUUGGUGGUAGCUUCACUAUUUCCAGAGUCAAGGAACUUUUCAGUAGUAGUAACUCCUUUAUUUACAAAGUAGCUUGGCCACACAAGCUACACUUUUCUUGUCAUGUCAAAUUAGCACAACUUAAAGUAGCUUCCUAUGUAGUGAACUAGCCUACUGCUGUGUUUUUGUUAUUUAUUGUGUUCCUAAGAUGCUCCUAACUGCUUCAGUUUUGUUUGUCUGAAUUGUUUUGUAUUUAGUGUUUUUCAGGUCCUAGAUGCUUCUAAAUGGUAUGUAUUACACAACAUCAACUUUAUGCAGGUGUCAGAAAGAUUGGUAUGUAUGUUGAUAGGAUGUUAUCUUGUUUACAUGUUUUUCAAUAUGCAGUUUUGUUUCUGUUGGCAUUAUCUUGUAUUCAAUGUGUUUUUCAGGUCCUAGAUGCUUCUAAAUGGUAUGUAUUACACAACAUCAACUUUAUGCAGGUGUCAGAACGAUUGGUAUGUAUGUUGAUAUGAUGUUAUCUUGUUUAAAUGUUUUUCAAUAUGCAGUUUUGUUUCGUUUGGCAUUAUCUUGUAUUCAGUGUGUUUUUCAGGUCCUAGAUGUUUCUAAAUGGUAUGUAUUACACAACAUCAACUUUAUGCAGGUGUCAAAAGGUUAGGUAUUGUAUGUUGAUAUGAUGUUAUCUUGUUUAAAUGUUUUUCAAUAUGCAGUUUUGUUUCGUUUGGCAUUAUCUUGUAUUCAGUGUGUUUUUCAGGUCCUAGAUGUUUCUAAAUGGUAUGUAUUACACAACAUCAACUUUAUGCAGGUGUCAGAACGAUUGGUAUGUAUGUGUUGUUUUCAAGUUAUCCCAGUUCUGCAAUUACAUUGUUCCAAGUUAAUGUUCCUUUGUGUACAAGUAUACUGUAUAAGUUAAACAAGAAACUGAUCCCAUUCCUAAAAACAUGGAUGCAAACUAAUUAUCUAUCUGCCCUGGUAGCUGUUUCCCAUUUUCAUUCUCUGUGAGUUUGCACCCCUGUGAUAGGCACUUUACUGCUUUGUAUUAACAAAAUCACAUGGGGCUUUCUUGGGGUGUCUUUGCCAUGAUCAGAGUAAUACAACUUUUUUAUUUUGCAGGUACUUGUCGGUCAUCGGAUUUGUCAUCAAUAUCGACGUGUGAUGCUGAUGAUUCCUGAACUGCUUGGGGCUCCUUUUUAAUUCAAUCAGCGCAUCAGGUAGGGUUGGUGUUCUUUUAAUUACAAUUAAUUUGGAAAAUAUACCUAAUGAAUAGCUUCAUGUCUUGUGAGUAAUGUAUGUAUUGUGUGCCUGUUUUCCAUACGAGGCGGCUGGAAUAACAAUCCAUCGGCACGCCAGUUCCAGGCCAUCUUCUGCCGGCUGAUGGUUCGGUGUGGUGUCUCACCUGGUGAGACAGGCAAUGUGGCAGCCCAGGAUAACACUGUCCCUGUCUGCAGUGGAGAUGUCCUCUCCUGAAACUGCUGAAGAGCACCCAUCUCCAUUCGCCCACAUUUGCCCCUUGUGUGUGACCACAGUUAUCUCCCCACUCGGUUUGGUGGUCUGGUGGCAAAUGCUCUGGUCAACAUAGCAGGGUUUGUAGUCCGGAAGAUUCUACGAAAACUGUCCUGUGAUGUGUGCCAUGCGAGCUUGGUCAGAGAUGCUGUACCAUCGUCAUUUGACAAGAGCUACCACCUUCUAAACCUGAAAAACAACGGCGGCCGAGUCAUUCCAUCACAAGGUGCUGAGAGCUGCAGAGGGGGUGAUUCACCAAUGCAAGCUCCUGAGGUGUCGACAGUCACACACAUCGUCCGGGAGGAGAUUGGAACGGAGGAUGUUUUUUGCUUGGGGAACACAUUGAGGAGACUCAGUUUGGCAUCGACAACCAUCAGUCUGACUUGUUGUCAUUGGUUGUGUCUGUGUUUCUCAAAAUAAGUCCCGCACCACAUUGCCAAACUCACCUCUCUUGAACUGCAGAAAGGGAGCACGAGGAAGAAGCUCUGCAAAACUGUCCUCUUUCAGGGGUUUUAGAGCGUGUGUGUGUGUGUUGUUCCAUGACAAUUCAAGACUUUAAUCCUAAAUUCCGGCAUCCAAAAACUAAUUCUAAGCUUUAUAUCUGUACUUUUAACCUUACUCAUCACACAUAGUAUCUUUAUGUCAUAUAUGUCAUCAUUCUGACAAGAUUAACACUGAAACUGAAAGCAAUGGCUUAAAACUGCCUGGAAACAGUGGUCUGUCACAUUAUAUGUGAAUACUGCUGUGUUGGUGGGUCUGUAAAUACCUCUGUUUGUUUGUGUUUCAUGAACUCUAGCCUCAUGGUGUGUGUCUCCAGGAAUCCAAAUGUUGGUCUCCUUUGCCUUACACUGGGUUUGUGAGCUUGUGUAUAGUGAAAUGUAUCUUUACAUUAUGUCUUUGUGAUUGUCUUAACCCUGAUCUCUUUCCCUCUGGGUUCUGUAAAGCACUUUGUAACUGUGUUUUGAAAAUUGCUACAUUAAGUUUGCAGACUUUUCUAGGGAGUUUCAACAUAGUAAAUGUGCAGUUUAAAUAAAAACCGUCACUUUUCAUUUCAUCCUGCUAUUUUAGACAGAGUACUGGGACCCGUGUGUGUAUGUUGGGAGGGGGGCUGCGAAAUUAAAGAGAGAGAGAGAGAAUGAAAAAAAUAUAUAUAUACUGCCACUAUUUACACAUUAGGUGUAUCAAUCAGAAUGAUAGUCAAACUGGAAAUGUCCCUGUUCUUCUCCCUUUUUGGGGAUAAUGUUCCCAGUUUUGUUCUCGUUUUGAUCUCGGAUGUCUAUUACUGUUAAAUGAUAUUACUGUUAAGCCCACUAUGAAUAUUAAAAUACCCUGAACCAUG
Molecule: long non-coding RNA, 5974 nt
Organism: Esox lucius (northern pike)
Lineage: Eukaryota; Metazoa; Chordata; Actinopteri; Esociformes; Esocidae
Source: Ensembl